This 253-nucleotide ribosomal RNA is filed under the name uncultured bacterium. Its description in RNAcentral is "partial 16S ribosomal RNA". It matches the Rfam family "Bacterial small subunit ribosomal RNA", at positions 524 to 776 of the family's 1533-position model. The record is from RNAcentral.
UACGUAGGUGGCAAGCGUUGCCCGGAUUUACUGGGCGUAAAGAGCGCGCAGGCGGUCGUUCAAGUCGCGUGUGAAAGCCCCCGGCUCAACUGGGGAGGGUCACGCGAUACUGAUCGACUGGAAGGCAGGAGGGGGUAGUGGAAUUCCCGGUGUAGAGGUGAAAUUCGUAGAUAUCGGGAGGAACACCGGUGGCGAAGGCGGCGACCUGGGUAGAUACUGACGCUGAGGUGCGAAAGCGUGGGGAGCAAACAGG